AUGGUGACCAGCGGCAGUGGGCAGUUCAAGAGUGCAGGCCCCGUGUGGGGCCCGAGGCAGUACAUCCUGGCGGCCACCGCCGUGAGCGCCGUGGCCGUGGUGACCACCGUCGUCCUCAGCCCCGCACGCAUCGCCUUCUCCGUCACCGGCGCCUCCAUCAGCACUGUCGAGGGAGCGUCGUUGGUGGCCCUGAACUUCACCCUCCAUGCGGCCAACCCUAGCCGCCGCGCCGGGGUGGAGUACAGCUCCGUCACGACCAGGCUGCAGCUCUACAGCGCGAGCCACGCGGCGGCCGCGUGGCUGAAGACGGACGUCCACCAGGCCAUGCCGCUCCUGCAGCCGCCGGCGAGCUCGUGCAGCCUCCGCGCGUCGGUCCUGUUCGACUGCAAGGAAUUGGGGUGCUGCGGGCGCGCGCCUCCGAUGACCGUGCUGGUGCUCGCCCAGGUCCGGUUCAAGGUCGGGUUGGCCUACUCCCGCCAGUACGAUGUCCAGGUCUCUUGCCAGCCCGUCGACUUCUUCGCCGCCACCGCCGCCGUUGCAAGGGUUGUAUGCGUUGCCUGA
RNAcentral lists this ribosomal RNA (561 nucleotides) under Triticum aestivum (bread wheat). RNAcentral's name for it is "partial small subunit ribosomal RNA". The record is from RNAcentral. Lineage: Eukaryota; Viridiplantae; Streptophyta; Magnoliopsida; Poales; Poaceae.